Molecule: long non-coding RNA, 916 nt
Organism: Homo sapiens (human)
Lineage: Eukaryota; Metazoa; Chordata; Mammalia; Primates; Hominidae
Gene: NUTM2A-AS1
Product: NUTM2A antisense RNA 1
Source: Ensembl
GCCGGCCUCCUUCGCCCCGCCCCGUCCGCGCAGCUCGUCCGGCCCGCCCGCAGGCCAGCUUCUCUCGGGAGCCUCCACCCAGGCGCAUGGCUCCAUGAAGCAAGAGGAGGAGGCAGAGCGCGAGAGAUCCCGUCCGCCCCAGCCGCGUCUGGGCCAGGAGAAAAGCAAAACCAUAUUCCUGCUGCUGUCAGUUUUGAUGCACUGAGAAAACUUCAGAGACCUAAGCUUUUUCCAGAGAAGAGAAGCUUUACUGGUGUUCCAGCCCUAAGGCUCAUAUGACAUUAACAGACAAGACACUUUUCAGAAAGACAGGCAACGUGUUGGACCUUCCGGAGCUUCUCAGAAGACAGAGGGUUUUCUUUUGAGGCUGUUGUACAGUGGCCUGAUUAUAGCUCACUGUAGCCUCGAAAUUCUGGGCCGAAAUGAUCCGCCUGCCUCAGCCUCCAAAGUAGCUGAGACUACAGACAAAUCAACUCAAUCAAAGAAACCAACUCAAAGAAAGAUGGGUCUACAUACAACAAAACUGAACAAAAUCUGCAAGAAGAGUGAUUCAUACAUGGGCUAUUGAGGCAACAUGAGAUGGACAUUAAUCGACUAAGUAAAAAACAGAUUUCUUGAAGAAUUAAUAAAGAACUUUUGUUUUGGAAGUUCUCUAUUGUUUAAAAUUAGCCAGAUGUGGUGGCCUGCACCUACAGUCCCAGCUACUCAGGAGGCUGAGGUGGAAGGAUCACUUGAGCCCAAGAGGCGGAGGUUGCAGUGAGCUGAGACUGUGCCGCUGCACUACAGACAGCCUCCUGCAUGACAGAGCCAGACCCUGUCUCAAAAUUUGGGGGGGAGUAAAGUUCUCUAUUGUUUGAAAUAAUAACGAAACAUUAAAGGCUCUAAAGUCAGCUAACGAAUAGUCCUAAAAAUAGAA